RNAcentral lists this ribosomal RNA (210 nucleotides) under Staphylococcus aureus. RNAcentral's name for it is "partial 23S ribosomal RNA". It matches the Rfam family "Bacterial large subunit ribosomal RNA", at positions 2693 to 2904 of the family's 2925-position model. The record is from RNAcentral. Lineage: Bacteria; Bacillati; Bacillota; Bacilli; Caryophanales; Staphylococcaceae.
CGGGAUGGACAUACCUCUGGUGUACCAGUUGUCGUGCCAACGGCAUAGCUGGGUAGCUAUGUGUGGACGGGAUAAGUGCUGAAAGCAUCUAAGCAUGAAGCCCCCCUCAAGAUGAGAUUUCCCAACUUCGGUUAUAAGAUCCCUCAAAGAUGAUGAGGUUAAUAGGUUCGAGGUGGAAGCAUGGUGACAUGUGGAGCUGACGAAUACUAA